CUACGUGCCGCACCAGGCGAGAAAACUUUGCAAUGUGCGAAAGCACGACAAGGUUAAUCCGAGUGGUUUGUGCUAAACGAACCUUUUGACAGUCCUAGAAACACUGUUGAAUAAGGGGUGGGCAAGUUCUGGUGUCAGCCGGCCGCGGUAAAACCAGCCCCUCAAGUGGUCAGGAUGAUUAUUGGGCCUAAAGCAUCCGUAGCCGGCUCUGUAAGUUUUCGGUUAAAUCUGUACGCUCAACGUACAGGCUGCCGGGAAUACUGCAGAGCUAGGGAGUGGGAGAGGUAGACGGUACUCGGUAGGAAGGGGUAAAAUCCUUUGAUCUAUUGAUGACCACCUGUGGCGAAGGCGGUCUACCAGAACACGUCCGACGGUGAGGGAUGAAAGCUGGGGGAGCAAACCGGAUUAGAUACCCCAGUAGUC
This 423-nucleotide ribosomal RNA is filed under the name uncultured archaeon. RNAcentral describes it as "partial 16S ribosomal RNA". It matches the Rfam family "Archaeal small subunit ribosomal RNA", at positions 323 to 746 of the family's 1478-position model. The record is from RNAcentral.